Molecule: long non-coding RNA, 2741 nt
Filed under: Gallus gallus (chicken)
Lineage: Eukaryota; Metazoa; Chordata; Aves; Galliformes; Phasianidae
Description: lncRNA (ENSGALG00010017235.1)
Source: RNAcentral
CGUUAUCACUUUUUCUUUUGAUUAAAACUAGGACCUGUUUAUCACUGAAAAGAAGUGCCCAUCUGAGGUUCUUCCUAUCAGCACAGGAGGCAGAGACAAGAUUUCUAAUGAACCAUUCAGUACAAGCACUUUGAAACUACCUAAUCACCAACAGAUUUCACCUGCAACAGACUUAGGUAAAUACUCAGUUAUGAAGAGCAUUAGGAGCUGCAGAAUGGGUACUGUAAAGUUUUUACAAACCAGUUUUUGAAAUGAGAUGCUUCUAGCUCAGGAGAGCAUUGAAGGCACAUUUAAAUCCUCCUGAAAACUCUAAGCCAGUGCUUAAGUGCUUUUUGAAAUCAUCGCUGGGGAACACAUCAUUUCUUAACUGCUUUGAAGAAAGUGCUGUAAUGUCAGUGCAUCAGCAGAGGAGGAAGUGCUACUUCUGGGUAAAAUUCAGCUUACGAUGGAAGAGUCACAGUGCUAAUGAUGGAACCAGAAAAUAAUCUGAAGCUUUUUGCCAAACAUACUGAUGUGAUGAAUGAAUUAACCAAGGAGCAUAAUACCUCAUUGCCAACUGAGAGCAAAUCCUUGAAGUUCAGUGCUAUUCCACUUAAAAUAUUUCAGUUGGAUCUCAAACCAAGAUGUGCAGAAGAAUUGUUACCACUGAAGAAGCUGGAUUUUUUGUCAAGAAGGAGUCUCAUGAUUCCUUUGCUUCAGGGAAAUUUAAAUGAAGAAACGUUCAGUUUGGAGGUUUGCCUAUUCUACUUGGAAAAUGUUAAAAAAUGGGUUGAAGAAAACAAGAAGAGCCAGAAAAGACUGCAAAGGAAAAUUGCCAUAUUUUUAGUCAAGUUUAUAAAUUUUUCCCUGGGACUUUUUGACAAAUGACUGCUCACCAACUUUGUGAGAAUUUCUCCUGGACAUUGCUCAGAAACUUCUGGCAUUUUGCCAUGCAGGUUUGCCUGCUAGAAUUUCUCAAAUGUUUUUUUUUAUUUUUCAUGGGAGGAGGCUGUUUUCUCAAGGAGUGUUGGUGCCUUUUCCAUCCAGUCUCUCUCACUUUUCUUUUCCUAAGUACAGACUUGCUUACAUUCAGAUUAAUUUUGGGCAAGGUCAGGAGUAGUGAAAUGCCCAUAAGCAUAAUGCUGUUGCUGCUGUUUUCACAGGCCAUCUCUGAGAGCAGCUGAAGUUGCAUGUUUUUCUGGCUCUGUUGAGAAGUAAUUUGGAAUAGAGCUCCUUUGACUCAAGCAUUGAAGCCAGACCUAAAUGCUUGAGUGAGAUUUCCACACUAGCAUAAACUGAAGCACAUCCAAACAUCUGCUGCUCAACAUGCCUGAGAGUUAUCUUUCACCCUGCUGCCAGAUUCCUUGGUGCCACAUAUAGAUUUGUAGUCCACUCUGUGGAUUUCUUUUCCUUUUUCCUCUGCUGUGCUCUUCUGAUCAUCCUCUAAUGGACCUGAACCUCUGUCAAAUACAUCUCUUUGCCACUGUGGGCAAACCAUUUGUCUUGAAUGGUGUAUAUCUGCUUGUUUUUUCCCAGAGAACUCUCUUUCUGACUACUAAUACAUGGUUUCUGGUACUGGAGCAUGUGCAGGACAGCAAUGUUCUUGUAGACUGGAGCUCAUUAAGGAUAUUGGUUUGGGGUGAACUAUGGUAACUGGAUUGAACUGUUGCUCCCAGAUCCCUGUGUCUACAUGACUUUGUUCCAAGGAAUUGCUGAGACAACCAAGGAAAGAGUGUAGCUGCUCUAGGCUACCUUUUGCAGUUGAUGAGGUGAGCAGAACAUCAGAGAAUGGUCUGGGGGUGUCCUGUAGUGCUCUUAGCUGUUUUUGUUGACUCACCUCCUGAUGUGGCUGCCUUUGGUAGUUGCAGAGAUGUGCCUGGGAGGGAUGCAGACAGAUGAGGCAACAGGCAGAGUAGAGAGCUUCAGAUGAGUUAUUUGCAUCCAGACAAGGAAAGGGAAAAUAAAAGGACCUUGUGUCACAGUUCAGGGGCUGUCGGGGUUGUAUCAUACUGUCACUGUAGAGUUCAGUGGAUGACAGUUGUUUUGCUUUAAAAAUGGGAGAGUGAACAGUUUUAUUUAACUAAGAGUUAUGGAGAAGUCCAGUAUCCAUCUGACAACAAUCAUGGCAAGAGAAAAGGCUGUUUUUUGCUGCAUGAGCUGUAUGUGAUUAUAGUUCUCUUCUUCCUUUAUCUAUGCAGGUAGCAUACAUGUCAGCACGUAGCUCCAAAACCUACCAUCUUCAUGAGUUGUGUUUAUAGUUAUACACUUAUUAAAUGAUUGUGUGCACUCGUACUCAGACUAUUAUAAAUCCAUUACUUUCCUGAGGCCAUAGGAAAUGGUUUUAAAAUGUGAAGCUUUUCUGCAGGGAAUUGAGAGAGAGCAAUACUAAAGCAGUGUACUUGGUUCACACAGAUCAAUGUAGUGCAAUAACUGGGAUGAGAAACCAAGCUUAAAACAUUACCAAUGUGAUUGGAUGAAAGCUUAACAUGGCGUUGAGUAAUGUCUCAUUAUAAGUAAAAUCUCUUAAACCACCUUUGGGGGGGAAGACAAAGCAAACUGCUUAGUAGCAAAUCAUAAGAUAGAAAUGAUGGUGCUUGCACUUGAAACUGAACUCUGGGUAGUACAAGCACAGUAGCAGUGAAACAUCAAGUUUGGCUGCCUUAUUUUCAAAAUGAUGGUGGUGAUGUUAGCCCAAGUCUUGGGAUGGGAGAUAUCAGGAGGUUUUAGAUAUUUUUGAUCUUUCCAUGAGAACUUUCAUGAAG